UCAGGGGACCGGGCGGCCGCGGCCCCGCACUUGUUGCGGGGGCGAGGAAAGUCCGGGCUCCACGGAACAACGGUGCCGGGUAACACCCGGCGGCCUCGGCGAGAGCCGGGGUCAGGGAAAGUGCCACAGAAAGAAUUCCGCCUGUCUUCGGGCAGGUAAGGGCGAAAGGGUGCGGUAAGAGCGCACCGCGCGGCCGGCAACGGUAUGCGGCAUGGCAAACCCCACCGGGAGCAAGACCGAAUAGGGGUGGCACAUGGGCCUGUUCCGGCUCGUCGCCCGGGUUGGUUGCUUGAGGCGGUCGGUAACGUCCGUCCUAGACGAAUGGUCGCCCAUCCCCCGCGUUCGCGGGGGUGGACAGAACCCGGCUUACAGGUCCCCUGGCACU
Molecule: RNase P RNA, 385 nt
Filed under: Sphingomonas edaphi
Lineage: Bacteria; Pseudomonadati; Pseudomonadota; Alphaproteobacteria; Sphingomonadales; Sphingomonadaceae
Description: Sphingomonas sp. DAC4 RNase P RNA component class A
Rfam family: Bacterial RNase P class A
About the family: Ribonuclease P (RNase P) is a ubiquitous endoribonuclease, found in archaea, bacteria and eukarya as well as chloroplasts and mitochondria. Its best characterised activity is the generation of mature 5'-ends of tRNAs by cleaving the 5'-leader elements of precursor-tRNAs. Cellular RNase Ps are ribonucleoproteins.
Source: RNAcentral